RNAcentral lists this ribosomal RNA (496 nucleotides) under uncultured bacterium. Its description in RNAcentral is "partial 16S ribosomal RNA". It matches the Rfam family "Bacterial small subunit ribosomal RNA", at positions 29 to 507 of the family's 1533-position model. The record is from RNAcentral.
AUGAACGCUGGCGGCGUGCCUAAUACAUGCAAGUCGAGCGAACAGAUGGGGAGCUUGCUCCUCUGACGUUAGCGGCGGACGGGUGAGUAACACGUGGAUAACCUACCUAUAAGACUGGGAUAACUUCGGGAAACCGGAGCUAAUACCGGAUAAUAUAUUGAACCGCAUGGUUCAAUAGUGAAAGACGGUUUUGCUGUCACUUAUAGAUGGAUCCGCGCCGCAUUAGCUAGUUGGUAAGGUAACGGCUUACCAAGGCAACGAUGCGUAGCCGACCUGAGAGGGUGAUCGGCCACACUGGAACUGAGACACGGUCCAGACUCCUACGGGAGGCAGCAGUAGGGAAUCUUCCGCAAUGGGCGAAAGCUUGACGGAGCAACGCCGCGUGAGUGAUGAAGGUCUUCGGAUCGUAAAACUCUGUUAUUAGGGAAGAACAAAUGUGUAAGUAACUAUGCACGUCUUGACGGUACCUAAUCAGAAAGCCACGGCUAACUACGUG